AAAGUCCGCUUGAAAAAACAAAACAAUAAAAUUGUUCAUCAAAUUUUGGCCCAGCAUUAUGUAUAUGCAUGUAACAGUCAUACGAUUUACCCACACUGUUCACAACUUAUAUUUUUAAUCAGCAUCAGUAUUUUCUUGAGCUGAUUGUCCACAUCCUGGUCCUGUCACCUUAAUUUCAGAAAAAUUCGUAUUAUCCACAUUGCGGCAAUCGCAGAAUCAUAAGGAAUUAUCUAAUAUUUCAUAAUAUGAGGAAAACUUAACAAACAUAUAUUUUAAGUGAUUCUAAUAUAUUUUCUUUAUAUAUAUUUAAGAUUGGAACUUCACUCGGAGAGCGGAAAUAACAAGCCAGAACUAAUAUUCAUGGACCAAGUAGAGGACAUUUCAUCUGAGUUUAUUUUACACAAAAACGAAAAUUGCAUUCAAAUUCGCAUUAAUGAUGGUAGUCGAGAUGGUAGGAUUGUUUUAACGAACUCUGAUGAAAUCGGAUUAAAGGAAUGGGCGUCAUCUUUGAGAUCCGCGCACAAAAUGUCGCAAGAUCUCUUAGGAUCAAUGGCUAAAAAAGCUGGAAAAAUUUAUGGUAGUGAACGAGAUGCCAACAAAUCUAUAUAUAUUUUAGGGGUAAUUGUUCAACGAAAUCGUCUAAUGGGUCUAAUUAAUUAUUUAACAAUUUAUGUACAACAAUUACUGCUAUGUAAAACGAUGUAGAGGUAUACACAAUGGAAAUAAAUUUGGAGAGAUUCCUAAAAACCCACCUCA
Molecule: long non-coding RNA, 756 nt
Organism: Drosophila obscura
Lineage: Eukaryota; Metazoa; Arthropoda; Insecta; Diptera; Drosophilidae
Exons: 2
Source: RefSeq, a predicted model, not a curated record